UAUUGUGAUGAAGUGCACACUGACCUGAGCUCCAGGGGUCUUUUUCUUCUCCUCCAUGCUGCUCUCAGUGCUCCUUCUCCGGCUGUGUCUCUGAAAUAAUCAACACAACUACAGCUGACACAAAACAAGAUAACUCAAUACAAGCGACAGACACAACAAAACAAAUCUACAGCAAUGUCUUAGGUUCACACACGUUACCUCUCUCUCUCCUCUUCGUCCUGGUUCUUCAGUCUUUCUUCUCCUUGAUAAAACACUGCCGUUAAACACACUAAUCUCCCUUUAAUGCCUUUACUUAGGCCUAUGUUUACCGAUUAGCAACGUGGUAUAAAAAGCUACGAACAAAGAACGGGAGGCAACCAACACACAGUUUAACGGAUGAAAGCACAGAUAAAUCACUCUACAAGGAUAAACUAACUCUUUGUAUGUGUUUUAAAAGUCUCUUAAACACAUUACAUUAGGUAUAAAACCGGCAUCAACGUCUGUUAGCAACGUGUAGCUUCUGAGGACCGGGACCAUGGAUGUUUAAUACGAACUGGAUACAGCGUCGGAGGCAUCGUUCUUUCCUUCUCAUUGGCUCAUGAGGACAAAAUGGCCGGACAUUCUCGAGAGCAAAAAGUCACAGGCCGUUUCGCCGUGUCUCAAUUCAGGGGCUGCACCCUUCGGAGUACGCAGCCUACGUGGUCCACGGAGGACCCAGCCAACGUAGACCGGGACACAAAUCACACCAUAUAGACCGAGCGGCCUACGAAAUGAGACGGUCUAACCCACGGAGCGCUUCGUAUUUACGUCACGUGAUACGCGCUGUUCGGUUGCGCUGCUCCAGCAGCUUGCUAGCAAAUUAGCUUACAAGCUAACUCAGCUGAUUUUUUGGAGAUCACCGUCGGCGAUGAAAUAAAGAGGACCAUUGCCAGAUGAUGUCCCACUGACACCAGGUCCAGCACCGUGACCCCCCCGCUCUGCUGAAAUACACAAUAAAACGUUUUCUAUGACCUAUUUUUUGUAUUAAUACAAUUAAAGUGUAAUGACCUAGAGAUAUCCUAUUAUUCCACUGCUUAUGUACACAUGUUGUAAAUAAUGGUUAAAACCUCAGUAAAGGAAAUAAACAAUGUGUUUUAACAAUUACUAUUUUAAUUUAAUAUUCUAUUUUCAUCUUAUCACAAAGUAGAGGUAAGAAUAUAUCCAUCCUCUCUCUGCAGCUCCAUGUCUUCUAUUAUUAUAACUUUUAUCAUUGAGACAGAGGAAAUCAAUCAUGUUAUUUAACAUCACCAGCAGUAAAACAAAUAUCAGCAAAAGUGUGUUUAUGGAGUUGUUUAUUCAUUCAUACAUUCAAGGAGAGAGAGAGACACAACACAGAUUCAAUGGUAAACAUGAUGUAUCUUUCUAUUUAUUUAGCUAACCACUAUUUAGACUGUGUUUUGAAUUGACUUGAUUGAAUGGAUUUACUACAUCAAUAUAAGUCUUUUCAGGCUGCCAUGUGUUGUCCUUUCUGUGGCCAACAUCUGUUCAAGUGUUCUGUGGCUCCUGUGGCAAAAAUGUACAGUUUUUGGCAGAAGUUGAACACAACAGCAUUCCAUAAGGAGGGUCAGGAACUCACGCUUGGGACCACCAGUGUCCACUCCAUCCUCAGUUUGUCCCUCAUCAUCAGUGAACUUAACUGACGUCUCAUGAGAGGAGUCG
Molecule: long non-coding RNA, 1677 nt
Organism: Gymnodraco acuticeps
Lineage: Eukaryota; Metazoa; Chordata; Actinopteri; Perciformes; Bathydraconidae
Exons: 3
Source: RefSeq, a predicted model, not a curated record